UACGAAGGGGGCUAGCGUUGUUCGGAUUUACUGGGCGUAAAGCGCACGUAGGCGGACAUUUAAGUCAGGGGUGAAAUCCCAGAGCUCAACUCUGGAACUGCCUUUGAUACUGGGUGUCUGGAGUAUGGAAGAGGUAAGUGGAAUUCCGAGUGUAGAGGUGAAAUUCGUAGAUAUUCGGAGGAACACCAGUGGCGAAGGCGGCUUACUGGUCCAUUACUGACGCUGAGGUGCGAAAGCGUGGGGAGCAAACAGG
RNAcentral lists this ribosomal RNA (253 nucleotides) under uncultured bacterium. RNAcentral's name for it is "partial 16S ribosomal RNA". It matches the Rfam family "Bacterial small subunit ribosomal RNA", at positions 524 to 776 of the family's 1533-position model. The record is from RNAcentral.